RNAcentral lists this non-coding RNA (173 nucleotides) under Vreelandella titanicae. Lineage: Bacteria; Pseudomonadati; Pseudomonadota; Gammaproteobacteria; Oceanospirillales; Halomonadaceae. The record is from RNAcentral. RNAcentral also lists the same sequence under 6 other names.
GUGUCCUAGAGGGGAAGUCCGAAGGCAGCUCGAGAUUCAAUGCUGGCUCAGGGGGGGCACCUAGUCGAACAGGAAGUGUAUGGCGGGGUGAGGUGGCACGAACCACCAAAGCCCAAUACUUGCACGUAACGUCAUGACGUGAAUCCGACAGGCAUAAGCGGACAAAUUCGUCG